Small nucleolar RNA from Xyrauchen texanus (razorback sucker), 70 nucleotides. The record is from RefSeq and is a predicted model, not a curated record. Lineage: Eukaryota; Metazoa; Chordata; Actinopteri; Cypriniformes; Catostomidae.
UUGGGGGUGAUGAUAUCUUUCAUAUUGAGACUUCUCGAUGAUUGUCAUGUAUUCAUACUGUCUGACCCAA